AACGAACGCUGGCGGCAUGCCUAACACAUGCAAGUCGAACGCCUGUAGCAAUACAGGAGUGGCAGACGGGUGCAUAACACGUGGGAACCUACCCUUGGGUUCGGAAUAACCGCGGGAAACUGCGGCUAAUACCGGAUACGUCCUGUGGGAGAAAGAUUCAUCGCCCUUGGAGGGGCCCGCGUCGGAUUAGCUAGUUGGUGAGGUAACGGCUCACCAAGGCGACGAUCCGUAGCUGAUCUGAGAGGAUGAUCAGCCACACUGGAACUGAGACACGGUCCAGACUCCUACGGGAGGCAGCAGUGGGGAAUAUUGGACAAUGGGCGCAAGCCUGAUCCAGCAAUGCCGCGUGGGUGAUGAAGGCCUUCGGUUGUAAGCCUUUGGUCAG
Molecule: ribosomal RNA, 385 nt
Filed under: uncultured bacterium
Lineage: Bacteria
Description: bacterial SSU rRNA
Rfam family: Bacterial small subunit ribosomal RNA
Source: RNAcentral